This is a long non-coding RNA of Brachypodium distachyon (stiff brome), 1522 nucleotides long. RefSeq lists it as uncharacterized. NCBI's taxonomy places the organism in Eukaryota, Viridiplantae, Streptophyta, Magnoliopsida, Poales, Poaceae. The record is from RefSeq and is a predicted model, not a curated record. The transcript has 3 exons.
UUAAACACGCCGACAUAGAGCAUUACAGAUGGGGGAACUAGCGAAAGCUAUAGCUGGGCGUGGCGUUUACCUUUUUGUGCCGACUGCCCUCCUUCGAUUCGAUCGGUACUUAACCGGCGACACUUCCAGCGCAAACCAUUCCCCUCUCGAUCGAUUCCUUGGCUUUCCCCCUUCCUCCCGCGCCCCAUUUAACUCGCGGCCCUUCCUCUAGCUCUUCUGCAACGUACUACAUCCUCCUUGCUAAUUAAGCUUCUCAGCUCUCUCCGUCAGCUCGGCGCGAACGCAGAGCCGCUACGGUCUCAGGUGCGCGAGCGAGCGGUACGAAGGCAAAGAUAAUCAGCAAAGAUGCAGAUGGUACUGGUGAUAUCGCUGCCCCUCGUGGCGCUGGUCAUCAUCAUCGCCAUCGUGCUCUGCGUCGUCUGCCGUUAACCAAACCGCCGACCUCGCCGGCCGGACUGACGGACUCCGGCGUCGCGUCAUGUAGUCUCUCAUAUAGGCCGUAGCGUCGUUUAAUCUGCUGUGACACUACUGUCGUCCUUGUGUAUUCGUCUGCAAUUCUGCAUGGUGUGUGAUAUCUACUCUCUCUUUUUUCUUCUUUUUCUCGCCAACGUGAAAUGUAUUGCCGAGUGUUAUACUAUUGAUUGAUCCACUUCUGUGUGUCGUACCACGUAGUACUACUUCGAUGUAAUGUAAUCUUUCUCUCCAGAUUUUGGUCCUGAUUUCAGAGUCACCAAACGUGAAAACACACACACAUGAUGUAAGCACUUGACCGUUAGACAUCUGGGUCCACUCAGAGUCAGGUGUGUCCGGCGCCGGAGUCCUCGGCUGACUGACACACAUCACUCGGAAGUCGUUCGUCACGCGUUUUUCCCCUUCCCAGUGUUCCUCCUUUCUUCUCCGCUCCCCUAUAGCUGAUUAGUUUUAGCCUGUCCACCCCACGCAGACGCAGGCACGCACCAGCACCAGAAACCACUCGCUCCUCCGUCCCGGCCUUCUCCCCCCAUCGCCGAUCUCCUUCCAGCCUCUCUCCUCUCGACGUCGAAGGAGACCCGAAGCACCAACAGGGAGCGCCCGCGGCUCGAUUCGGCGCAGGUAAAAGCAGAUGGAGUUCGUGCUCAUCAUCUCCCUGCCGCUGCUCAUCCUGGUCCUGAUCAUCGCGGUCGUCCUCUGCUGCGUGUGCCGCUAAUUGAAUGGCGGCAUCUCUGCCAUCUAAUCAACCGUGUGUUCAAACAAUCCAUUAUUACAUCAUGACGAGAUAAAAAAGGGAAACUCUCCUAGUUUCCUCUCUAUUUUACCUUUUUUCUUCUUUUCCAGUGGUGUGAUUAGUUGGCUCUAGCUUUACUAUCUUUCGUGAUGGCGAAAGGGGCGUCGAUUCCAUGUGUCAACACUCAUACUAUGACAUGUGUGCUGUAAGAAGAACAAUCCUCUCACGUCUUUGAUUCCUCUUAAUUAGUGCUACAAGCAUGUGGGAGAUUGGAGAUUGCCUGAAAGUGCCGUCUUCUUUCUAUCUCUCUUUCCGUUC